RNAcentral lists this ribosomal RNA (248 nucleotides) under uncultured bacterium. Its description in RNAcentral is "partial 16S ribosomal RNA". It matches the Rfam family "Bacterial small subunit ribosomal RNA", at positions 524 to 768 of the family's 1533-position model. The record is from RNAcentral.
UACGUAGGGUGCAAGCGUUGUCCGGAAUUAUUGGGCGUAAAGAGCUCGUAGGCGGUCUGUCGCGUCUGCUGUGAAAACUCAGGGCUUAACCCUGAGCUUGCAGUGGGUACGGGCAGACUAGAGUGCGGUAGGGGAGACUGGAAUUCCUGGUGUAGCGGUGAAAUGCGCAGAUAUCAGGAGGAACACCGGUGGCGAAGGCGGGGUCUCUGGGACGGUACUGACGCUGGAGACGCGAAAAGCGUGGGGAG